This 253-nucleotide ribosomal RNA is filed under the name uncultured bacterium. Its description in RNAcentral is "partial 16S ribosomal RNA". It matches the Rfam family "Bacterial small subunit ribosomal RNA", at positions 524 to 776 of the family's 1533-position model. The record is from RNAcentral.
UACGUAGGGUGCGAGCGUUAAUCGGAAUUACUGGGCGUAAAGCGUGCGCAGGCGGUCAUGCAAGGCAGAUGUGAAAUCCCCGGGCUCAACCUGGGAACUGCAUUUGUGACUGCAUGACUAGAGUACGGUAGAGGGGGAUGGAAUUCCGCGUGUAGCAGUGAAAUGCGUAGAUAUGCGGAGGAACACCGAUGGCGAAGGCAAUCCCCUGGACCUGUACUGACGCUCAUGCACGAAAGCGUGGGGAGCAAACAGG